GAUUUGGGGGAACUCCCUAACUUUAGGUCGAAACUAAACGUAAUUUACUUCCAAAUCA
RNAcentral lists this transfer RNA (58 nucleotides) under Lernaea cyprinacea. RNAcentral's name for it is "tRNA-Arg". The record is from RNAcentral. Lineage: Eukaryota; Metazoa; Arthropoda; Copepoda; Cyclopoida; Lernaeidae.